RNAcentral lists this ribosomal RNA (253 nucleotides) under uncultured bacterium. Its description in RNAcentral is "partial 16S ribosomal RNA". It matches the Rfam family "Bacterial small subunit ribosomal RNA", at positions 524 to 776 of the family's 1533-position model. The record is from RNAcentral.
UACAGAGGGGGCAAGCGUUGUUCGGAAUUACUGGGCGUAAAGGGCGCGUAGGCGGCCUGCUAAGUCGAACGUGAAAUCCCUGGGCUCAACCCAGGAACUGCGUCCGAUACUGGUUGGCUUGAAUCCGGGAGAGGGAUGUGGAAUUCCAGGUGUAGUGGUGAAAUGCGUAGAUAUCGGGAGGAACACCAGUGGCGAAGGCGGCUUCCUGGCCUGUUCUUGACGCUGAGGCGCGAAAGCUAGGGGAGCAAACGGG